AGUGAACGCUGGCGGUAGGCCUAACAUAUGCAAGUCGAACGGCAGCACAGUAAGAGCUUGCUCUUACGGGUGGCGAGUGGCGGACGGGUGAGGAAUACAUCGGAAUCUACUUUUUCGUGGGGGAUAACGUAGGGAAACUUACGCUAAUACCGCAUACGACCUACGGGUGAAAGCAGGGGAUCUUCGGACCUUGCGCGAUUGAAUGAGCCGAUGUCGGAUUAGCUAGUUGGCGGGGUAAAGGCCCACCAAGGCGACGAUCCGUAGCUGGUCUGAGAGGAUGAUCAGCCACACUGGAACUGAGACACGGUCCAGACUCCUACGGGAGGCAGCAGUGGGGAAUAUUGGACAAUGGGCGCAAGCCUGAUCCAGCCAUACCGCGUGGGUGAAGAAGGCCUUCGGGUUGUAAAGCCCUUUUGUUGGGAAAGAAAAGCGGCAGGUUAAUACCCCGCUGUUCUGACGGUACCCAAAGAAUAAGCACCGGCUAACUUCGUG
Molecule: ribosomal RNA, 492 nt
Filed under: uncultured bacterium
Lineage: Bacteria
Description: partial 16S ribosomal RNA
Rfam family: Bacterial small subunit ribosomal RNA
Source: RNAcentral